GUUCUGGUGUAUAAGACUAAAUUAAAUUCUUGAUAAUGUUUAUUCAAUCAUUUGCACAGCCUUUGUGACAAUCAAAUAACAGAGAUGGGCCUCCUGGUGGAAGAAGCACGCUUUGAAACCCAACAGACUGAUACAAGAAGAUGCGUCCAACCACAGAAAUACAUUGCAAAAGAUUUGAGAUCAAAAAGCGAGAUGGAAAAAUCAAUCAAUACUUUUGUUAAGACAGAAGAUCCCAUCAAGAAGUUUGAGCCUGAACUAGCAGUAAAUAAUGGCAGGAUUUCCUAUAGGUUUCAGUGGAAAACAGAAGGCCUUUUCAUGUGCAGCGCAACUGGGCUAGUGUUUGGAUUGAAAGGAAGUGGAUGUUUAGAGUACAGUGUGGCUCACUGGGAGAUGCGUCACCUCAUCAACACUCACUAUGAGCCUGCUGGACCUCUGUUUGAUAUCAAAACCCCUACAGGAGAAAUCUAUGAGCUUCACCUUCCACACUGUGAGACAAACGGUA
This 502-nucleotide long non-coding RNA is filed under the name Sinocyclocheilus grahami. Its description in RNAcentral is "lncRNA (ENSSGRG00000010310.1)". The record is from RNAcentral. Lineage: Eukaryota; Metazoa; Chordata; Actinopteri; Cypriniformes; Cyprinidae.